GAAAGAUUAGUUAAUUAACUAUAACAUAAGCCUGUCAUGCUUAAAUAAUCAAUAUUUUUGAUAUUUUUC
Molecule: transfer RNA, 69 nt
Filed under: Penaeus californiensis
Lineage: Eukaryota; Metazoa; Arthropoda; Malacostraca; Decapoda; Penaeidae
Description: tRNA-Asp
Source: RNAcentral